AAAUUGAAGAGUUUGAUCAUGGCUCAGAUUGAACGCUGGCGGCAGGCCUAACACAUGCAAGUCGAACGGUAACAGGAAGCAGCUUGCUGCUUUGCUGACGAGUGGCGGACGGGUGAGUAAUGUCUGGGAAACUGCCUGAUGGAGGGGGAUAACUACUGGAAACGGUGGCCGGUGGC
Molecule: ribosomal RNA, 176 nt
Filed under: Salmonella enterica
Lineage: Bacteria; Pseudomonadati; Pseudomonadota; Gammaproteobacteria; Enterobacterales; Enterobacteriaceae
Description: partial 16S ribosomal RNA
Rfam family: Bacterial small subunit ribosomal RNA
Source: RNAcentral